RNAcentral lists this ribosomal RNA (440 nucleotides) under uncultured bacterium. Its description in RNAcentral is "partial 16S ribosomal RNA". It matches the Rfam family "Bacterial small subunit ribosomal RNA", at positions 338 to 795 of the family's 1533-position model. The record is from RNAcentral.
CCUACGGGUGGCAGCAGUGGGGAAUAUUGCACAAUGGGGGAAACCCUGAUGCAGCGACGCCGCGUGAGUGAAGAAGUAUUUCGGUAUGUAAAGCUCUAUCAGCAGGGAAGAAAAUGACGGUACCUGACUAAGAAGCCCCGGCUAACUACGUGCCAGCAGCCGCGGUAAUACGUAGGGGGCAAGCGUUAUCCGGAUUUACUGGGUGUAAGGGGAGCGUAGACGGCAGCGCAAGUCUGAAGUGAAAUCCCUUGGCUUAACCAUGGAACUGCUUUGGAAACUGUGCAGCUGGAGUGCAGGAGAGGUAAGCGGAAUUCCUGGUGUAGCGGUGAAAUGCGUAGAUAUGAGGAGGAACACCAGUGGCGAAGGCGGCUUACUGGACUGUAACUGACGUUGAGGCUCGAAAGCGUGGGGAGCAAACAGGAUUAGAUACCCCAGUAGUC